This 1470-nucleotide ribosomal RNA is filed under the name metagenome. RNAcentral's name for it is "bacterial SSU rRNA". It matches the Rfam family "Bacterial small subunit ribosomal RNA". The record is from RNAcentral.
AGAGUUUGAUCCUGGCUCAGGACGAACGCUGGCGGCACGCUUAACACAUGCAAGUCGAACGAGAGAAGAGGAGCCUGCUUUUCUGAUCUAGUGGCGGACGGGUGAGUAACACGUGAGCAAUCUGCCUUUCAGAGGGGGAUACCGAUUGGAAACGAUCGUUAAUACCGCAUAACAUAAUUGAACCGCAUGAUUUGAUUAUCAAAGAUUUAUCGCUGAAAGAUGAGCUCGCGUCUGAUUAGCUAGUUGGUAAGGUAACGGCUUACCAAGGCGACGAUCAGUAGCCGGACUGAGAGGUUGAUCGGCCACAUUGGGACUGAGACACGGCCCAGACUCCUACGGGAGGCAGCAGUGGGGAAUAUUGCACAAUGGAGGAAACUCUGAUGCAGCGAUGCCGCGUGGGGGAAGAGGGUUUUAGGAUUGUAAACCUCUGUCUUCAGGGACGAAAAAAGACAGUACCUGAGGAGGAAGCUCCGGCUAACUACGUGCCAGCAGCCGCGGUAAUACGUAGGGAGCGAGCGUUGUCCGGAAUUACUGGGUGUAAAGGGAGCGUAGGCGGGAUCGCAAGUCAGAUGUGAAAACUAUGGGCUUAACCCAUAAACUGCAUUUGAAACUGUGGUUCUUGAGUGAAGUAGAGGUAAGCGGAAUUCCUAGUGUAGCGGUGAAAUGCGUAGAUAUUAGGAGGAACAUCAGUGGCGAAGGCGGCUUACUGGGCUUUAACUGACGCUGAGGCUCGAAAGCGUGGGGAGCAAACAGGAUUAGAUACCCUGGUAGUCCACGCCGUAAACGAUGAUUACUAGGUGUGGGGGGACUGACCCCUUCCGUGCCGCAGCAAACGCAAUAAGUAAUCCACCUGGGGAGUACGACCGCAAGGUUGAAACUCAAAGGAAUUGACGGGGGCCCGCACAAGCAGUGGAGUAUGUGGAUUAAUUCGAAGCAACGCGAAGAACCUUACCAGGUCUUGACAUCGUAUGCAUAGCUCAGAGAUGAGUGAAAUCUCUUCGGAGACAUAUAGACAGGUGGUGCAUGGUUGUCGUCAGCUCGUGUCGUGAGAUGUUGGGUUAAGUCCCGCAACGAGCGCAACCCUUACUGUUAGUUGCUACGCAAGAGCACUCUAGCAGGACUGCCGUUGACAAAACGGAGGAAGGUGGGGAUGACGUCAAAUCAUCAUGCCCCUUAUGACCUGGGCCUCACACGUACUACAAUGGCUGUCAACAGAGGGAAGCAAAGCCGCGAGGUGGAGCGAACCCCUAAAAGCAGUCUUAGUUCGGAUUGUAGGCUGCAACCCGCCUACAUGAAGUCGGAAUUGCUAGUAAUCGCAGAUCAGCAUGCUGCGGUGAAUACGUUCCCGGGCCUUGUACACACCGCCCGUCACGCCAUGGGAGUCGGUAACACCCGAAGCCUGUAGUCUAACCGCAAGGAGGACGCAGUCGAAGGUGGGAUUGAUGACUGGGGUGAAGUCGUAACAAGGUA